GUGAGGAAUAUUGGUCAAUGGAGGCAACUCUGAACCAGCCAUGCCGCGUGAAGGAUGAAGGUCCUCUGGAUUGUAAACUUCUUUUAUAAAAGAAGAAACCCCAGAUUUCUAUCUGGGUUGACGGUACUUUAUGAAUAAGCACCGGCUAACUCCGUGCCAGCAGCCGCGGUAAUACGGAGGGUGCAAGCGUUAUCCGGAUUCACUGGGUUUAAAGGGAGCGUAGGUGGGCUGGUAAGUCAGUGGUGAAAUCCCCGAGCUUAACUUGGGAACUGCCAUUGAUACUAUCAGUCUUGAAUACUGUGGAGGUAAGCGGAAUAUAUCAUGUAGCGGUGAAAUGCUUAGAUAUGAUAUAGAACACCGAUAGCGAAGGCAGCUUACUACGCAGUUAUUGACACUGAGGCUCGAAAGCGUGGGGAUCAAACAGGAUUAGAUACCCGAGUAGUCC
This 445-nucleotide ribosomal RNA is filed under the name uncultured bacterium. RNAcentral's name for it is "bacterial SSU rRNA". It matches the Rfam family "Bacterial small subunit ribosomal RNA", at positions 354 to 796 of the family's 1533-position model. The record is from RNAcentral.